Molecule: ribosomal RNA, 380 nt
Filed under: uncultured bacterium
Lineage: Bacteria
Description: bacterial SSU rRNA
Rfam family: Bacterial small subunit ribosomal RNA
Source: RNAcentral
GAUGAACGCUGGCGGCGUGCCUAACACAUGCAAGUCGAGCGAUUCUCUUCGGAGAAGAGCGGCGGACGGGUGAGUAACGCGUGGGUAACCUGCCCUGUACACACGGAUAACAUACCGAAAGGUAUGCUAAUACGAGAUAAUAUGCUUUUAUCGCAUGGUAGAAGUAUCAAAGCUUUUGCGGUACAGGAUGGACCCGCGUCUGAUUAGCUAGUUGGUAAGGUAACGGCUUACCAAGGCGACGAUCAGUAGCCGACCUGAGAGGGUGAUCGGCCACAUUGGAACUGAGACACGGUCCAAACUCCUACGGGAGGCAGCAGUGGGGAAUAUUGCACAAUGGGCGAAAGCCUGAUGCAGCAACGCCGCGUGAGCGAUGAAGGCCU